CGGACGGGUGAGUAACACGUGGAUAACCUACCUAUAAGACUGGGAUAACUUCGGGAAACCGGAGCUAAUACCGGAUAAUAUAUUGAACCGCAUGGUUCAAUGGUGUAAGACGGUUUUGCUGUCACUUAUAGAUGGAUCCGCGCCGCAUUAGCUAGUUGGUAAGGUAACGGCUUACCAAGGCAACGAUGCGUAGCCGACCUGAGAGGGUGAUCGGCCACACUGGAACUGAGACACGGUCCAGACUCCUACGGGAGGCAGCAGCC
Molecule: ribosomal RNA, 263 nt
Filed under: uncultured Staphylococcus sp.
Lineage: Bacteria; Bacillati; Bacillota; Bacilli; Caryophanales; Staphylococcaceae
Description: partial 16S ribosomal RNA
Rfam family: Bacterial small subunit ribosomal RNA
Source: RNAcentral